Molecule: ribosomal RNA, 150 nt
Filed under: Parasitella sp. CBS 152.69
Lineage: Eukaryota; Fungi; Mucoromycota; Mucoromycetes; Mucorales; Mucoraceae
Also listed under: 1 other name
Description: 5.8S ribosomal RNA
Rfam family: 5.8S ribosomal RNA
About the family: 5.8S ribosomal RNA (5.8S rRNA) is a component of the large subunit of the eukaryotic ribosome. It is transcribed by RNA polymerase I as part of the 45S precursor that also contains 18S and 28S rRNA.
Source: RNAcentral
AACUUUUAACAACGGAUCUCUUGGUUCUCGCAUCGAUGAAGAACGUAGCAAAGUGCGAUAACUAGUGUGAAUUGCAUAUUCAGUGAAUCAUCGAGUCUUUGAACGCAACUUGCGCUCAAUGGUAUUCCAUUGAGCACACUUGUUUCAGUA